CGUGCAGGCGGCUUGGUAGGUUGGACGUGAAAUCUCCCGGCUCAACUGGGAGAGGCCGUUCAAUACCGCCAGGCUUGAGGGCGGAAGAGGGGAGUGGAAUUCCCGGUGUAGUGGUGGAAUGCGUAGAUAUCGGGAGGAACACCUGUGGCGAAGGCGGCUCCCUGGUCCGCACCUGACGCUAAGACGCGAAAGCGUGGGGAGCGAACG
Molecule: ribosomal RNA, 207 nt
Filed under: uncultured bacterium
Lineage: Bacteria
Description: partial 16S ribosomal RNA
Rfam family: Bacterial small subunit ribosomal RNA
Source: RNAcentral